GGCUGCGUAGCUCAGUUGGUUUAGAGCGGCUGACUCAUACCCAGCAGGUCGGGGGUUCAAAUCCCUCCGCAGCUACCA
Molecule: transfer RNA, 78 nt
Filed under: Tenericutes bacterium ADurb.Bin024
Lineage: Bacteria; Bacillati; Mycoplasmatota
Also listed under: 3 other names
Description: tRNA-Met
Rfam family: tRNA
About the family: Transfer RNA (tRNA) molecules are approximately 80 nucleotides in length. Their secondary structure includes four short double-helical elements and three loops (D, anti-codon, and T loops). Further hydrogen bonds mediate the characteristic L-shaped molecular structure. tRNAs have two regions of fundamental functional importance: the anti-codon, which is responsible for specific mRNA codon recognition, and the 3' end, to which the tRNAs corresponding amino acid is attached (by aminoacyl-tRNA synthetases). tRNAs cope with the degeneracy of the genetic code in two manners: having more than one tRNA (with a specific anti-codon) for a particular amino acid; and 'wobble' base-pairing, i.e. permitting non-standard base-pairing at the 3rd anti-codon position.
Source: RNAcentral